GCACUCUCUUCGGCAGCACAUAUACUAAAAUUGGAACAAUACAGAGAUUAGCAUGGCCCCUGCACAAAUAUGACACCCAAAUUUGUAAAGUGUUCCAUACUUUU
Ailuropoda melanoleuca (giant panda) is the source of this 104-nucleotide small nuclear RNA. Lineage: Eukaryota; Metazoa; Chordata; Mammalia; Carnivora; Ursidae. The record is from Ensembl.